RNAcentral lists this non-coding RNA (96 nucleotides) under Streptococcus lutetiensis. RNAcentral describes it as "Guanine sequence". It matches the Rfam family "Purine riboswitch aptamer". From Rfam's summary of the family: Riboswitches are metabolite binding domains within certain messenger RNAs that serve as precision sensors for their corresponding targets. The record is from RNAcentral. Lineage: Bacteria; Bacillati; Bacillota; Bacilli; Lactobacillales; Streptococcaceae.
UGGUUAAAAUUCAAUAUUACUUAUUUAUGCUACGAAUAGGCGUAGCGUUUCUACAAGACACCGUAAUGUCUAACAAUAAGUCAGUUCUCAGUUGUU